Molecule: long non-coding RNA, 785 nt
Filed under: Nicotiana tabacum (common tobacco)
Lineage: Eukaryota; Viridiplantae; Streptophyta; Magnoliopsida; Solanales; Solanaceae
Description: long non-coding RNA (NTAB_LNC017518)
Source: RNAcentral
CUUAAUCUCAACAUUCAUACUAAUUAUGGAUAGAUCGCCUCUUUCUAUCUUUAUCAAAUACGUACAGAUACUUUGAGUCCAGCAUAAAACUCCAACAACACUGCGAUUUCAAAAAUUUUAAAACAAAUCCUAGCUUUGAACCCACAAACACACAAUAAUAAAGUUUCAGCAAAAAAAAAAAGUUCAUCAAAUAGUCCUCCAAAUCGCAUCAUAAACAAAUAGGGUUCUAUUCAUAUCACGUGAAUAUGUAUUUAACUAGCAUGCCAUGAGUCUCAAAGAAAGACCAAAAAUUCAUCAUUCAAGAAAGACCAAUCAUUAUUACAGAGUGGUAUUAACAUACCUAGUUAGCAGGAAGUGAACAGUAUUGUGAUUGCCAAAUAAAGGCUAAAACGAAGGAAGAUGGAGUUCAACUAUGAUUAGCAAACAUCAACAAACUUUAAUAUUUGGUCGAAAAACAAAUUGAAACCCAGAAAAUAAUGAUGAAAAGCUCCUUGAAUCCAAGCAUCAAAUGCCCUCUUUGUAUGUUUGUUUUUGUUUUUUUUUGUUUUGGUCUGUUCCCUCUUGUAAAACCCAGAUUCACUUUUUGCCUUCCCCUAAAACUUUUAUGUCAUCCUCCUCUCUGUGUUUAUAUCCCCCACGUCAAAUUUUUUAUGUGUGAAGAUAAGAUAAUCAGAAUGUAAAAUGAGAAAAAUGAAUGAGGAUGCCAAGAGCUUUGGGAUUUUGCCAAAGAUAGAAGAAGAGAGAGAGGGGCGCCGAUUCUCUGUCUCUAGAGGGAAGGGGAUCCA